UUUCAUUUCCUGAAAAUAUCUAUCUUUUUUUUCUACAACACUGUUUUGAUGAGGGUGUUCUAUGAGAGGAAAAGUUAUGUAAAGUUCCAUUAUAUUCACAAAAAAUUUCAAGGAGCUUAUUUUUAAAUUCAUUCUCAUGAUUACUAUGAAUUGUUGUAAUAAAAACCUUUUUUAUUUUUCACAUUUUUGCAGAAGGUAGUGAAAACCUCACGUGACUCAUCAUUUGUGUUUAAGGAACUUUACCCAUGUCCAUAUGGAAUAUUCAUUAACAAUAACAAGUCCAUAAUUUUUUUACCACUAAUAGAGGUAUUCUAUACAUGGUCAAAUAAAUCAAAAUGUAAAAGUUCAAGCGGUCUAGAAGUGGAAACAACAUUUUUUGAGGAAAAAAUAAGAUAUUGUUUGUUUCCCUUUCUAACAUGCCUCACAAAGAGCAUAUGAUUCAUAUUUUAGAUUUGGCAAGCCUCUGACUUGAUCAAGUCUUUUCAACUUUGAGAUUAACCUCAAAUUGGCAUGUCCAAAACUUUUGUGUCAAAUCAGUUGUUAUUCAUUCACAAACAUAAUACAUUUUACUUCUUGUUUUUCCAAAUCUGAUAAGUUUAUUUUGUAAAUAUUGUUUUUCCUUUGACCAGUAAAUAGUAUAGAUCCAUCUAUUUGAGUUAUUGCCUUACAUGAAUUUUGAUUAAAGACAACACCACUACCAUUGUCGCUUAAUUGAUUUGUUUUCAAUAGGUUAUUCAAUAAUCCUUAUACAAGUAAAACACUUUUAAUAGAGGGAAGUGAACCAUUACCUACUGUGAUAUGCCCAAUGAUCCUACUCUUCUAAUUACCUUCAAAUCCUACAAAUUCUUCGUUCUUGAGGGUCAGGGAACAUAGACUUUUCUCUCGUCACGUGUCAUCAGCAUCCAUUGUUCAAAUACCGCGACUGGUGUUUUAACAUUGUUGCAUAGGAUAUCUGUAAGAUGUAAUAUUUUAUUCUUAGGUACCCAAAUUUGGUUGGGUCCUCUUUUGUUAGUUAUUAAAGGUGUCUUGUCUUUCCAUGUUUUUGCAUAGGACAAAUUCUUUUAUUGUGACAUUUCCUUAAGCAAUAUCAAGUAAGUUAACUUUAGCAGUUUUCUUUGUUUCUUCAAAACCAAUACCACAUUUAUUGUUUCUGCUAACACCAUAGAUCAUGGAGACUUGUUUACUUCUAUCUAUGUCAUUUUCAAGAAAUUAUUAAAAGAUUUUUUUCAUACUUAACAGAAUUACAGACUUUAUCCUUUAAGAGUUUUGAAACAUUUUCUUUCAAAGUUGAAUUUUCUCCUUUUUGGUUGUCAAAAUCAUUUUCAAGAAAUUUGUAUUUAUUUGUUAAGAUGACAUGAGCUUUUCUAAGAGUUUUUAGAUUUGAAGAACAAUAUCAUUCUUGUUUAGAAACUUAUUUAACAUAACGACAAGUUCAUUACGAGAUAGGUCGUAUAGUACCUCAAUUUCAUAGUGUGUAUCUAUCAUCAGAGCCAUGUUUGCAUGCUCUUCAUUUUCAUCAGAUGAUUCAUUAGAGUUAUCUUAAGUAGCCAUAAUACCUUUUUUCUAUGCCUUGGAAUAUUUUCUUAGGGAACUUCCCUUCUUUUCUUAUCUGAUUUUUCACCUUUUUCUCUAUUAUUUUGGGAUCGUUUGCAAUCUCUUUUUGGAAAUACAACUCUUUUGUUCCACAUGCAUUGAAUUUUCUUUAAGAUGAAAUACAACUCAUCAUCAUAUGCAUCUUCACUUUGAUCGUCUGAUUUGUUUUCCUAUAAGCCUUCUUUGAGAUGAAGGAGGUCUAUUAACAAUAAGAUGUUUAUAAUGUUGUACUCUUAGAAAAUAUAUCUCAGCACUUAGACAAAACAAAAAAUUAAUAGCAAGAGUGUAGAGACGAUUGUAUUGUGCUUAUUGUGGUAGGUUGUUGUUGUAUUCUUCAUUGAGAGUUGCAGAUCCUUUUAUAGAGAUCUUUAGGGUUUCUGGCUCCUGUCCUGAUUGUAAGAAAUCAGUUGUAUCAUAAAUUUGUGUAUCAAAUCUUCAGAGAUGUAUUCACCAUUAAAGCAUGUCUAAAAUUAAUCCUUGUAAUUGAUUAUGUGCUUCUUGAUACAGAGACAGAAAAAGCGGACAAUAUCAUGAUCAUAGUAUGUCACAUAGUCCGUCAAACAAAUUACGAAUUCAGAGUGUUGAGCAGAUGAUGCACAAAUUUGUCUUCUUCAGAUUGUUCACUUUUUAUAGCGUUGACUUUGUUCAGGGAUUUGACUUUUAGAGCAUUUACUUCUAUCAAAGCAUUGACUGUCUAAAGUAUUGACAUUUUAUCUGAGUGUUGACUUUUAAAUAGAGUUAGAUGAUCAGUUGUUUGACGUGAUUAUUAGAGACAAACAAUCAUUGGCUUGUAUGAGGAAGAAUAAUCAUAUGUUUGUUGCAGUCAUCAGAGUCAAAAAAAUCAGAGCAUUGCUUGUACUAGCAUGAUCACCAGAGGUGUGUUUCCAAGUGCGUUCAUCAGACUCAAAAUACGGAUUUCAGAGCGAAGUCAUGGUGUUCCCUUAACUUACAUCAAAACAUCAAAGGAUGCAGCGUAAUGUCAUAUAAAAUAAUCUCACCUGAGAACUACACACUUAAACAAAUAGUUAGUGCUUGAAAUUGUUCCCACAAAAUGAUUUGUUUUCAUCAAAACAAAUAAAAGUCAUAAUUCUUCAAAUUAGCUUAAUUCUAACAAUAUUAUCCAAACUAAACCGGUGAAUUAUAGGUUUGUUUGAAUACCUUCAAUGUGUUUGAUACUUAUAAAAAUGUAUAACUUAUUUUAGGAAAGAGAUUUUUUUUUGCAUAUUAUAGUUUUUUGUAUUCACCAAAUUUUGAUCGAUGAGAUUAAG
This 2861-nucleotide long non-coding RNA is filed under the name Cicer arietinum (chickpea). Its description in RNAcentral is "long non-coding RNA (CARI_LNC000340)". The record is from RNAcentral. Lineage: Eukaryota; Viridiplantae; Streptophyta; Magnoliopsida; Fabales; Fabaceae.